CUUUUUGGCGGCUCGAGCAGGGAGCCGCGAGGCUCGCCGGUUUGCGCAAGCAGUUCCCGGUACGCCAACCUGUUCGAGCUGCCGCCCUC
Molecule: non-coding RNA, 89 nt
Filed under: Variovorax paradoxus
Lineage: Bacteria; Pseudomonadati; Pseudomonadota; Betaproteobacteria; Burkholderiales; Comamonadaceae
Source: RNAcentral